Suricata suricatta (meerkat) is the source of this 1026-nucleotide long non-coding RNA. RefSeq lists it as uncharacterized. Lineage: Eukaryota; Metazoa; Chordata; Mammalia; Carnivora; Herpestidae. The record is from RefSeq and is a predicted model, not a curated record. The transcript is spliced from 4 exons.
GCACCCACAGGCGGUGGUGGGCAAGCCCCAGGCCCCUGGAGGGGGCGGCGUGCCCGGGGACACAGCUAGCUGGCAGCGGAGAGGGGCACGCCCAGUGGGGUGCGGGGGCUCCUUUCUCCUGCGCUGCUGGAAGCCCACGGUUCAGGAAAAGAGGUCUCCCGGGAAAUCAAGUUUUUAGGGAGCCAGGCCUUGGGCGGGAAAGGGGUGCUGGACUCCGUUGGACACAGCACCGGCUCUGAGCCGCGAGAAGGGGCAUCUGCUGGAAUGAGGGUGGCCGGCGCCCCACCUCCGGUUCGCAGCGCAGAGUUAACGCGCCCCCUUCCCGUCUCCCUGCGGAGGGAACAGCGCCAGUGUGGCCCAACGCGGCCGCGGGGGGGGGGGGCACUUUUCAGUUCUCUGUGCGAAUUAAUUGGUGCCAGACUCUCACAUGGGAGUUUUGAACAGACAGCCGAGAGCGAAGACUUUUCUUCUUGACACAGAUCAAGAGAGUAAAUGCAAUUCCCAAGAUUUCAGACCAACCAUAGUGAGAGUUUUGGGAAAAGGAACCAAGGACUGACCGUAUUUGAAAGAUCUCAUCCACAUGCUGCAAUGGAGCGUGAAACACUUCCAGAGCUGAGUGUCGGGAGAAAAGUGUGCUAGGAGCCCAUUCCCUGCUCCCUUCUACACCGCGAUGCUCCACUCUGCGUGUCUGGUCUCGAAGGCUUCACGUUUUCACAGCAUCUGGAGUCUGACCACUGCCUUGCCUCCCCCUGCGGCCCCCAGCCUGAGCCCCAUCUCUCGGCUGUCCUUUGGAAGGUGCCGAAGGCCUGACACCUGCUGGGGGCAGUGACCCAUGGGGGCCCCUUCACCCCUCCUGAGGAUCACUGGAGCGCCUGUUCUGAAGCGGCUGGCACAGCCCCUUGGCCCCCUUGGGCUGCUGAGUGUGGGGCUUCUCAACACCGGGCCGCCCUACAAUAAAAUUGCACUCGUGGGUCCCUUGGUCUCAGUGCCGUCCGCUGACAAGGGACCCAGGGGCACCUGUGGCUC